CUUCCCAGUGCUCUUUGGACCAGAAGUAGGAGCUUGUCUGGUCUCUCUUGUUAUUAUGAUUGUCUCUCUGCUUAAUACAACUGGUAAUGAUGAGCAGCAGAGCAGUAUACAUGCAAGCACUUUCUAUGUGCCAUGCAUUUUACAUGGAUUAUCUCAUCUAAUCCUUAAAAUAACCCUAUAAGGUAGUUGCUCUUAUCCCUGUUUUAUAGAAACAAAGAGAGGUUAGGAAACUUGCUUAAAGUCGCACAGUAAGUGGUAGAACUGGGAUUUGAAUAAGCAGUCUGGCUCCAGAGUCUAUGCUCUUAACCUCUACACUCUACUGCUUCUAUUCCUCUCUUACCUGUCUGUGAAGACAGUAUGGGCAGGUGGCUUAGUAGGGCCAGUCCUAUUUUUCCCAUCGGAAAAAUGGGAAGAUUUUGACUAUUGGGCUAGGAAUAAGGAGGCCUGUGAUCUUGUCUUGACCCCGUCACCAAUUUGCUGCAUCCAGGACUUCACUUUUCUCAGCUUUAUUGUCCUCAUUCAUUAAACAAAGGGGUCGCUCUAAAUGGUCCCUUCUAACUCUCAUGUUCUAUGAUUGAUGAUAUGAAGUGAGGAGAGUAGCACCUGCUCAUGUCCUUGAUUUUGGAGCAGUGGUAUUUGUGAGGUUUUAGGGAGCCUGCUUUGUGCAAGGGAAGAUGCUAGAUUUCAGGGCAGAGAAGCAGCCUCCUUCCUGAAGAAGGUAGAUCUGGAUUCUUUUUUGAGGUUGGUUGCCAAGGGAACCUCGCAUUUGGCCAGCAAUGACCAGGAAUGCUUUGGUUGAGGGUUGGGUAGAGAUAACUGAAACAAGCAGCACAUUUCAGGUUUCACUGUCCCCCCCCCCGCACCCCGACCACCUAGCUACCUUUCCUUUCCAAGAUGCUAGUUUUAUGUACUAUGUUAGGCACUGUUUUAAGUACUUUACAAGGUAUGGUAUUUAAUCUUCCUAGUAAUCUUAUGAGAUAGGUACUAUUAUUGUUCUAAAUUUACAGAUAAUGAAAAUGAGGCAAAUAGUGUUAAAUAAUUUGUCCACAUUUACUCAAGUGGAAAGUGGUAUCAAACUCACUAAGUUGUACUGCCUGCUUGGAGCUUAAAAAUAAGAAGCAGGGAGAGGACUCUUUAGUUAUCUGUUAGUGGCUUUUGUUUGUUUCUUUGCUUGUUUUGUUUAGAAUGAUAGACUCUUGGAAAGGGCCUUUGAGGUAAUACAAUCAAUCUCCUUGUCUCUAGUCUGCCAUCCGGUUACAGGAAUGCUUUCUGUCAUCUGCCUGACAGAUGAUCGUCCAAGUUCGUUUUGAAUACUUCCAUUGCUGGGGAGCUCAUCUCUUCUCCAGGAAUCUCAUUAUGUUGUUGAAUAGCUCUCAUUGGUAGAAAAUUAUUUCUUGUUUUGAAUUACAAUCUGAUUGAGGUGACUUCUCAUCAGUUUUAGGCCUAUCUCCUGGAACCAUACAGGAUAAAUAUAAUCCAUCUUCCACAUUCCAAUCUUGUGAGCAUUUGAAGACACUCUUCCUGUUUAUAAGGCACAUUUACAGUUUUCUCUUAGCAUAUAAGCUUGUUUUCAAUUCAGGUUAGUCUGGCCAAAUGCAGUCUCUAUUUCUCACUACUUUGCAAGUGUAGCCUUGUAACAAAUCUAUGCUUCUCUUGUGAUUAGUUAGGUACAACGUAUGGGAUCUUCCCACAUCCUUGGAGAAUGAAUGGAUAGUGAGCUGAGUCUAUAAAGUUGUAUAUGAGUCUGGAAGGUUUGCAGUGUCCUACUCUUAUAAUAUCAAGGAUGUCAGGCUGCUGCCCUGUACACGCUGUCAGAGCUCACAAAAUGGCUGGAAGUUUAUCCGGGUACUUGAUGAAAUUGUAUUUACUUCAUCAGGCCACUAGGUGCUGAACAACUUGCAAACCCAGACUGCCAGGGACGGUUGUGUUCAGGACAGUUUCUGUUUGUACCCGGAAAGGCGAUAUCUGGUACCACCUUGUUAAAAGGUUUCUUCAUAGAGAAGGAAAACGUGUCUUGUGUACAUUUUGUGUUUCCAAGCUUUGUUCCAAUUUUAAAUAUUAAGUUGACUAGGAUACUUGAGUGAUUUUCUUAGAAAAAGGGCGUAGAUGGUACUUUCAAGGUCCUUAUAUGUCCAAAUAUACAUACUUUUUUUGCUUUCAUUUAUGAAUGAUGUCUUGGCUGCGUGUAAGAUUCCUAAAUAGUAGUCCUAGUCUCUACAGAGUCUGUGACAGCUUUCUACUGUCUUUAGUUUUUAGUGAUAGCGAUGAGAAGUCCAAUGCCAAUAGGAUUCUUUUUUCUUUGUAAGUGAUGACCUAUUCUCUCUUUCUGGAAGUUUGUAAAUUUUUUCUUCAUUCUUAGCAUUUCAUAAGGAUAUGCUUAGCUCUGUGUCUUUUUAAAAUAUCUCUUCUUGCCACUUGAUGAGCCUUUUAGACUUAAAAGCUUACAUCUUUCUUUCCUUCAGGGAAGUUUUUUUUUUUUUUGAGGAAGAUUAGCUCUGAGCUAAUAUCUGCUGCCACUCCUCCUCUUUUUCCUGAGGAAGACUGGCCCUGAGCUAACAUCCGUGCCCAUCUUCCUCUACUUUAUAUGUGGGACGCCUGCCCCAGCGUGGCUUGCCAAGUGGUGCCAUGUCCGCAUCCAGGAUCUGAACCAGCAAACCCUAGGCUGCCAAAGCGCAAUGUGUGCACUUAACUAAUGCACCACUGGGCCGGCCCCAGGGAAGUUUUAUUGCUUUCCUUCUAUAUGUUUCUAACCUCUUUACAGAUGAGGAAACUGAGCCCAGAAAGGUUGUGACUUUCCCAGGGUCACUCAGCUGGUUAAAAAUGAACCUCAAGGGGCCAGCCCUGUGGCCGAGUGGUUAAGUUCGUGCGCUCUGCUGCAGGCAGCCCAGUGUUUCGUCAGUUCGAAUCCUGGGCGCAGACAUGGCACUGCUCAUCAAGCCACGCUGAGGCGGCGUCCCACAUGCCACAACUAGAAGGACCCACAACGAAGAAUAUACAACUAUGUACCAGGGGGCUUUGGGGAGAAAAAGGAAAAAAAAAAAUCUUAAAAAAAAAAAAAAUGAACCUCAAGCAAAUAACCUCACUCCUUUGAUGAGCUCGACUUUCACUGUAUGGAAUAUUGUUCUAGAAAGAGGGCCGUCAUGAACAACUUGGAAAUUUUUUUAGUGAGACAGUAAUUUUGCCAAGGGUUUGUAGGGAGAUGAAGAAGGAAGAAGAGGUGAUAAAAUUCAUUACAAUUAAAAGCUGGCCCAUUUGAAGGGCUGCAAAAUUCACAAGUCCCUUGUUAUCCCAGUUAUUGGAGCUACCCCAAAGCUCUAAAAUUUCAUAGAGCUAGGAAGUUGAUUGAACAUUUGAAGAAUUAGGUAUUUAGGUAUCAGGAGUUAGGUAAGCAUGGUCAUGCCCUGUUGUAAAUAUUGGACAACGUGUAAAUGAUAUCUGAAGGCUUGGUGACAGACAUCAUAAACUCUGUCUUAUCAGUGGUCUGGUUUCUUUUUUGAGCUCCAGCCUGGGACCCUUUUCUGCUGGGAACCACUUAUUCCUGGCUCUGCUGAUCUUUGGAUUUCCCCAGCCCUUCAGUCUCUUUCAGUUUUGAAAUGAAACCUACCCCAGAGGGCGAGGUCAGGUACUGAGAGGACUUUGACAGCUCACACCAGCUUGUUUUCUUUCCGGAGCCGUCUGGUAUGUGACCGAGUGAGGCGUGAGGCUCAGCACGUUGUGAUGUAGACUAAUUGAUGGUGAAUCAGCUGUUGGGUGAAACAUGAUCUUGUCACUGUAAUGUGGUAAUUGAUAAUGUGAUUCUGGAGCCAGCCUGCUGGGGCCUGAAUUCUGAUUUAGCCACUUACUAACUGUGUGGCCUUGGCCACGGCCACAGCAUGGCCACUAACAGAUGAGUGGUGUACGUCCGUGCCCAGGAUCCAAACCCAGGCAGCCAAAGCAGAGCAUGCCAAACUUAACCACGAGGCCACCGGGGCUGGCCCAAGGACCCUCUUAAUGGUGAAAUUUUCGGUACAAGGAUGAACUUUGAAGUCAUUGUGCCAAGUCCUGCUUGUUCCUUUGGACUACACAGUGGGAGCUGGAAACAUGGGUGACCCCAGUAGGGGCUUUUGUAUUCAUAAGCACCAGGCUUACGAAUACAAACACAGCAAGUCCCAGGAGCUGGUUUUGGUGGGGCUGGACUUCUCCUCCAUGCAGAAUCACAUGGCCUCUUUAGGAAGAAGCCCCUCGCCGCCAUUGACCUCCACUUGGGGCAUCCUCCUGUCUCCAGUCCAAAGACAAUCCUAUGGACCUCAGAGCUCUUGUGUCUCUGCUGCUGCAGCACCCAUCCAUAUGUGCCCCACUGUGGCCGAGCCAGCCUGUACUGGGGUGUUCCUGUCCAUCUUGCAGGGGACUCUGCCUCCAGCCAGUGCCCCCUCCAAGCCUGGUCUCCUCUAAGGAUUUCCUGUGGGUUAGCUCUGGGGAUCUUUUCUUAAUCUGUUCCUACAUGUGUUAUUACAGAAAGAAUUAUUCAUAAUUGCCAGCAUUGUGAUGGCUUCUUCCUAGUUUCUUUUGAGCCUGCAUGUUUUUCCCUACUUGACAUUUUCUAGGUUCUCUCCUACUUAAGUGACUUCUUCAGGAUCUUUUCUAUUGAGGAGUAAUGAACGAACAGUAAAGUCACAAAUCCUAAGCAUACAUUGCAGUGAAUUUUUACAUAUGUGUACACUAUGUAACCACCACCCCAAUCAAGGUGUUUCUUUUAGAGUUGAGAAGUUCUUGGUGGGAGGUUGAGUGGAGAAGGAAAUCAUGAGUGUGUCCACGAGCUGCCGUCUUUUUCUAGAACUCUCUUUAAAGGGUGUUAAGGAGGGAGCUGAACGUCAAGUCUAUACAGUGGUGUGGAGAGCAGAAUGCUUAGGAGUGGCAGGUCAUGUUCUGGUCCUCCCCCUUACUAGCUGUGGGACUUCUGUGCCUCAGUUUCAACCACUGUAAAAUGGGAGUAGAUGAUAGCUCUUACCUCACAAGGUUAUCAUGAAGAUUACACGAGGCAGUACAUGUAAGUGCACCAAAAAAUGUUAAUUGUUAUUUUUGUUGUUAUUAAUAACGAGGAGGAGGCAGUGGUUCUUAAUGAAGGAUAUGCAUCAGAAUCACCUGGGGCACUUUCG
Equus asinus (donkey) is the source of this 5135-nucleotide long non-coding RNA. The record is from Ensembl. Lineage: Eukaryota; Metazoa; Chordata; Mammalia; Perissodactyla; Equidae.